GUAAAUGUUAACACACGUUUUUUAGACAUUUAUUUUAAUUUUUGUAUUGUAUAAUUCUAGAUGCUGAACUGAUUUUCAAUAAAAAAGCUAAAUCUCCAACUGGAUUACUAAAAGAUGAUGAUAGUCAAGGUAAAUGUUAACACACGUUUUUUAGACAUUUAUUUUAAUUUUUGCAUUGUAUAAUUCUAGAUACAGAACUGAUUUUCAAUCAAAAAGCUAAAUCUCCAACUGGAUUACUAAAAGAUGAUGAUAAUAGUCAAGGUAACACAUAUUUAACACAUAAAUUCUUUAAAACUUAUUUUAUUAUUUUAUUUUAUAUUCAGAUCUUAUAUUCACCCAAUAUUCUCCUCCAACUCAUGGCAGACACUCAUCAAGCUCUCCAAAUUAUUUUGAUGCAAUAAAUGAUAACAACUUUGGACCAAGGAUUAGUAAUUACAUUGUUAGUCCAUAUAAAAAUGCUGUAGCUUCAGACAAGGAGGUUAAUAAUGACCAACAGAGUGUAAGUCCUGAGAUGUUUCAUCAAUCACCAGUAUUUAAAAAACUUCCUUCAUCAACUCAAUAUAACAUUCUCAGUGGUGGAG
Molecule: long non-coding RNA, 581 nt
Organism: Acyrthosiphon pisum (pea aphid)
Lineage: Eukaryota; Metazoa; Arthropoda; Insecta; Hemiptera; Aphididae
Exons: 3
Source: RefSeq, a predicted model, not a curated record